This 1580-nucleotide long non-coding RNA is filed under the name Homo sapiens (human). RNAcentral's name for it is "HSALNT0386796". The record is from RNAcentral. Lineage: Eukaryota; Metazoa; Chordata; Mammalia; Primates; Hominidae.
CAGUUUCCUUGGUGCCCUGGUGUUCAAGCCACUCCUGAAAGCUCAAUCUAGUGUCUGUUUCUUCAGCUCUCCUGGUAAUUUUGAUGACAGGCCAGGACACUCUGGAUGCCAUCCUCAGUGUGUCUAGGCUGUGACUCUGACUUUCUGGGCCAGGACCAGGGCCUUACAGUGCAGGAGAAAGACAGAGAUGUGGAAGCUUCAUGGGGAGGCUUUAAAAACAGGUGAGCCAAGAUUUGGAGGAACCACUGGGAUGCUCACUCGUGGCCAUGACAUCAGCAUUCCAGGAGGGCAGCUCCACAGAUAAGUCACUCCUGAUACUGCUGGCAGCUCACCAUCAGGAACAAUGCACUGAAAUGCAUACGGCCUUUGUAAUGCGCAUUUACAUUGAUCUAACCACUUUCUGGGAAACUCACAACAGUCCAUGGGUGUGAUUAUUGUUAUUUCCAUAUUGCAGAUGAUGGAGCUAAGGCCCCAGGAGGUUAACUGACUUGCCCAAGGCCAUAUUGCCUGUAUGUGAUAUAGCUGGGAUUCAAAUCCAGGUAGUUUGGUUUGAGAGUCCACACUGUUAAUCAUCGCUUCCCGGCGCACUGCUUUUAGCUGAACUCAACGUGCCAACGAUUACCGUAGCUAAAAGUAACAAUAGCAAAGGAGGCUAGGAAAUGCUUACCUCCCUAAAAGUUUUAUAGUGAACUUCAUGUGAAUCAUGUUAUCACCCAGACUGCACGUGAUCUCAACAUUUUAAAAAUAUGCCUGUAGAAAGGGGAUUUUAAAUUGGAAAAGAUGAGUCCUUCCCAUUACUUUAUGUUUCAGAGUUGGAAGGAAUACAAGCUUUCUGAGGAAGGCAGCGCUGUGGCUCCAAUGGCCUGGAGCUCCAUUUUGUCUCGGUAGCCACCCUGGAAUGGUGGGUCAGAUGGUAGAGAGGCUUAGAGGCUCAGUAAAGAAGUUUGGGCUUGGCACUGAGUCCCUGGAGAUUUUCAAGUGGAGACAGAUGGGAUGAACUAAUGUUCUGCUACAAUCAGGCUGACAGUGCAGAGUGCAGGGUGAAGGGAGAUGGAAGAUGGAGAGGCCAAUGAGAAGGCUGCUGCACAUGAGGAGGAGGCUGGGCUAGGAUUGAAGGAGAGGGAAUGAAAAGAUGGUGAUGGCCUCAGAAAUGAAAGGAAAAGCCACAGGGCUUGUGAUUAAUUGGAUCCUGGGGUGGGAGAAGCAGACAUGGAGGUUUUCAGCCAGAAGCAAGAGAAUCAAGAAGAAAAAGGGAUGGUUUUGAGAGAAACAAUAUUCAGACCCACUGAAUUUUAGGAGAGAUAGGGGCACUAAGUUGCAAGGCUAAUAGGUAGUAGGAGAUCUUGUGCUGGGACACAGAGAAUAACUCAAGCUUGUGGUUUAGUAGAGAAAUGGAAAUUGCAGCAUUGAGAAUUAGAGGAGGUUGUGAGAGGAGGGCUGAGAACUAAGAGGUAACUCCAGCAUCAACAAGGGUGAAGGUGGAGAGCCUCUCAUAGAGCCUGGCAGGAAAACCACUGGUGACAUUUGAGAGUACAGUCCAGGUUCCCCAGAGAAAGAGAACCAGUAGGGCAUGUGUGUGU